ACGACCUUACUUGAACAGGAUCUGUUCUAUAAGCUCGUACCUCUGUAUUCUUGAUUCCUAAGAAGACAGAAACCCAUGUCUGGUUGAUGAGUCAUGACAAAAA
RNAcentral lists this small Cajal body-specific RNA (103 nucleotides) under Helianthus annuus (common sunflower). RNAcentral's name for it is "Plant small nucleolar RNA U3". It matches the Rfam family "Plant small nucleolar RNA U3", at positions 1 to 103 of the family's 221-position model. Rfam says of the family: Small nucleolar RNAs (snoRNAs) are involved in the processing and modification of rRNA in the nucleolus. There are two main classes of snoRNAs: the box C/D class, and the box H/ACA class. The record is from RNAcentral. Lineage: Eukaryota; Viridiplantae; Streptophyta; Magnoliopsida; Asterales; Asteraceae.